RNAcentral lists this ribosomal RNA (253 nucleotides) under uncultured bacterium. Its description in RNAcentral is "partial 16S ribosomal RNA". It matches the Rfam family "Bacterial small subunit ribosomal RNA", at positions 524 to 776 of the family's 1533-position model. The record is from RNAcentral.
UACGUGGGUGGCAAGCGUUGUCCGGAUUUACUGGGCGUAAAGGAUGCGUAGGUGGAUAUUUAAGUGGGAUGUGAAAUACCCGAGCUCAACUUGGGUGCUGCAUUCCAAACUGGAUAUCUAGAGUGCAGGAGAGGUAAGUGGAAUUCCUAGUGUAGCGGUGAAAUGCGUAGAGAUUAGGAAGAACACCAGUGGCGAAGGCGACUUACUGGACUGUAACUGACACUGAGGCAUGAAAGCGUGGGGAGCAAACAGG